This 431-nucleotide ribosomal RNA is filed under the name uncultured bacterium. RNAcentral's name for it is "bacterial SSU rRNA". It matches the Rfam family "Bacterial small subunit ribosomal RNA", at positions 335 to 759 of the family's 1533-position model. The record is from RNAcentral.
ACUCCUACGGGAGGCAGCAGUGGGGAAUUUUGGACAAUGGGCGCAAGCCUGAUCCAGCCAUGCCGCGUGCGGGAAGAAGGCCUCGGUUGUAAACCGACUUUGUUCAGGAAGAAAAGGUUACUGGCUAAUACCUGGACUCAUGACGGUACCUGAAGAAUAAGCACCGGCUAACUACGUGCCAGCAGCCGCGGUAAUACGUAGGGUGCAAGCGUUAAUCGGAAUUACUGGGCGUAAAGCGUGCGCAGGCGGUUAUGCAAGACAGAGGUGAAAUCCCCGGGGCUCAACCUGGGAACUGCCUUUGUGACUGCAUGGCUAGAGUACGGUAGAGGGGGAUGGAAUUCCGCGUGUAGCAGUGAAAUGCGUAGAUAUGCGGAGGAACACCGAUGGCGAAGGCAAUCCCCUGGACCUGUACUGACGCUCAUGCACGAAAG